UAUUGAAAAGGGUAAACUGCCUGUAAAGGCAGGGCACAAAGCUAUCAGGGUCCCGCCUCUUGUAAGACAAGAGGCGGGACAGCCAGCUGCCGAU
Molecule: non-coding RNA, 94 nt
Filed under: Candidatus Omnitrophota bacterium
Lineage: Bacteria; Pseudomonadati; Candidatus Omnitrophota
Description: Omnitrophica WOR c-di-GMP sequence
Rfam family: c-di-GMP-I riboswitch aptamer
About the family: GEMM was predicted in a large-scale screen for bacterial structured RNA regulatory elements. Genes associated with GEMM are involved in a diverse array of functions, including chemotaxis regulation, signal transduction, secretion and chitin.
Source: RNAcentral